RNAcentral lists this ribosomal RNA (464 nucleotides) under uncultured bacterium. RNAcentral describes it as "partial 16S ribosomal RNA". It matches the Rfam family "Bacterial small subunit ribosomal RNA", at positions 338 to 795 of the family's 1533-position model. The record is from RNAcentral.
CCUACGGGGGCAGCAGUGGGGAAGAGUGCGCAAGGGGCGAAAGCCGGACGCAGCGACGCCGCGUGAGGGAGGAAGGUCUUCGGAUCGUAAACCUCUGUAAGCAGGGAAGAACGGUCACUGUGCUAAUCAGCAGUGAAGUGACGGUACCUGCAAAGGAAGCACCGGCUAACUCCGUGCCAGCAGCCGCGGUAAUACGGAGGGUGCGAGCGGUAAUCGGAAUUACUGGGCGUAAAGCGCUCGUAGGCGGUAUGUCAAGUCAAGGGUGAAAUCCCCGCGCUCAACGUGGGAACUGCCUUGGAAACUGGCAACCUGGAGUGUGUGAGAGGAUAGUGGACUUCCCGGUGUCGGAGUGAACUCCGUAGAUAUCUGGAGGAACAUCAGUGGCGAAGGCGACUCUCUGGCACAUAACUGACGCUGAGGAGCGAAAGCGUGGGUAGCAAACAGGAUUAGAUACCCCUGUAGUC